Molecule: small nucleolar RNA, 107 nt
Organism: Coffea eugenioides
Lineage: Eukaryota; Viridiplantae; Streptophyta; Magnoliopsida; Gentianales; Rubiaceae
Source: RefSeq, a predicted model, not a curated record
AGUUCAUGAUAUGGACAUUUUCGUAGCAAAUCUCUAAACAUUUUUCAAGUUUCAUACAAUGAUUCACCUUCUUGUUGACUAAAAUUAGUUAUGUCUAUUCUAAGUUU